UAAAUAUUCAUAGGUAACGGUUGGGCAUGCGUCCUAUUAGAUAGUUGGGGGGGUAACGGCCCACCAAGUCGAUGAUAGGUAGGGGUUCUGAGAGGAAGGUCCCCCACACUGGUACUGAGACACGGACCAGACUCCUACGGGAGGCAGCAGUGAGGAAUAUUGGUCAAUGGGCGAGAGCCUGAACCAGCCAAGUCGCGUGAGGGAUGACUGCCCUAUGGGUUGUAAACCUCUUUUGUAUGGGGGGAAUAAGCUUUACGAGUAGAGUGAUGACAGUACCAUACGAAUAAGCAUCGGCUAACUCCGCGCCAGCAGCCGCGGUAAUACGGAGGAUGCGAGCGUUAUCCGGAUUUAUUGGGUUUAAAGGGUGCGUAGGCGGCAUUAUAAGUUAGUGGUAAAAUAUUGGGGCUUCACCUCACUACGCCAUUAAUACUGUAGAGCUAGAGAACAGACGAGGUAGGCGGAAUAAGUUAAGUAGCGGUGAAAUGCAUAGAUAUAACUUAGAACACCGAUAGCGAAGGCAGCUUACCAGACUGAGUCUGACGCUGAUGCACGAGAGCAUGGGUAGCGAACAGGAUUAGAUACCCUGGUAGUCCAUGCCGUAAACGAUGCUCACUGGCCUUAGGCGAUAUAUGGUCU
This 636-nucleotide ribosomal RNA is filed under the name uncultured bacterium. RNAcentral describes it as "bacterial SSU rRNA". It matches the Rfam family "Bacterial small subunit ribosomal RNA", at positions 202 to 842 of the family's 1533-position model. The record is from RNAcentral.